UUUAUUGAGAGUUUGAUCCUGGCUCAGGAUGAACGCUGGCGGCGUGCUUAACACAUGCAAGUCGAACGGAGUGCCUUUGAAAGAGGAUUCGUCCAAUUGAUAAGGUUACUUAGUGGCGGACGGGUGAGUAACGCGUG
RNAcentral lists this non-coding RNA (137 nucleotides) under Ruminococcaceae bacterium D16. Its description in RNAcentral is "Bacterial small subunit ribosomal RNA". It matches the Rfam family "Bacterial small subunit ribosomal RNA", at positions 1 to 119 of the family's 1533-position model. The record is from Rfam by way of RNAcentral. Lineage: Bacteria; Bacillati; Bacillota; Clostridia; Eubacteriales; Oscillospiraceae.